UGGGGAAUUUUGGACAAUGGGGGAAACCCUGAUCCAGCCAUCCCGCGUGUGCGAUGAAGGCCUUCGGGUUGUAAAGCACUUUUGGCAGGAAAGAAACGUCGCGGGUUAAUACCCCGCGAAACUGACGGUACCUGCAGAAUAAGCACCGGCUAACUACGUGCCAGCAGCCGCGGUAAUACGUAGGGUGCAAGCGUUAAUCGGAAUUACUGGGCGUAAAGCGUGCGCAGGCGGUUCGGAAAGAAAGAUGUGAAAUCCCAGAGCCUAACUUUGGAACUGCAUUUUUAACUACCGGGCUAGAGUGUGUCAGAGGGAGGUGGAAUUCCGCGUGUAGCAGUGAAAUGCGUAGAUAUGCGGAGGAACACCGAUGGCGAAGGCAGCCUCCUGGGAUAACACUGACGCUCAUGCACGAAAGCGUGGGGGAGCAAACAGGAUUAGAUACCCCUGGUAGUCCACGCCCUAAACGAUGUCAACUAGCUGUUGGGGGCCUUUCGGGCCUUGGUAGCGCAGCUAACGCGUGAAGUUGACCGCCUGGGGAGUACGGUCGCAAGAUUAAAACUCAAAGGAAUU
RNAcentral lists this ribosomal RNA (567 nucleotides) under uncultured bacterium. RNAcentral's name for it is "partial 16S ribosomal RNA". It matches the Rfam family "Bacterial small subunit ribosomal RNA", at positions 355 to 911 of the family's 1533-position model. The record is from RNAcentral.